Chenopodium quinoa (quinoa) is the source of this 795-nucleotide long non-coding RNA. RefSeq lists it as uncharacterized. NCBI's taxonomy places the organism in Eukaryota, Viridiplantae, Streptophyta, Magnoliopsida, Caryophyllales, Amaranthaceae. The transcript is spliced from 2 exons. The record is from RefSeq and is a predicted model, not a curated record.
AGUAAGUACUACUUCGUAUGAGACUAUGAGGUAUGUACUUCGUAUAAUCUAAACUUUUGGGUAGAUCUUCCUUCAUUACUCUAUGUGACUGGUGAUUGAAUUAGGGCUGAUAAUUCCUGACCCGACACGAUAACCCGAUCCGAAGUUAUUGAGAGAAACCCAAACAAUUCGAUUUGACCCAAAUUUCAUAUUUCAUAAUAAUAUUAAGUUUUACACUAUUUUUAUAGUUUCUAAACACAACCCGAGAUCUGACACGAAUUGCCACCCCUUCAUGGGAUGUUAAAGGAAAAAAAAAGUGGGUAGGUUGUGGGUAUUUGAUUUUCCCUCCAAAAUUAUUUACAUAUGUGGAAUAUAAACAAAAUAUAAAUAAACAGUUAUAUUACUUGUAAUUAACCUGUCAAUCUGUCAUCUACCCAGUGUACAAUGUGAAAAAAAAAAUAUUCUAUUUGCUUCAACAAAUUUCCCAUUCUGUGAUCUACAAUUCUGCAAUUCAAAUAUUUCAAAGGUUUAUGUUCUUCACUAUGUCUAAAUGUGAUGCUUAUUUGCUGCUUCAUCUGAAUAACUCACGUUGGAAUCCAUCCUUGAUUAAUUUUUCUAUUUGAAGAAGAUAACUUAUGUUAAUGUAUUUUGUCCCGGUGUUUAAGGUUUUCAACACUUAGACCUUUUAACAUCUCGCCCAUUCAUAGUGGCGGAUCCAAUAUAGGUACAUGGGAUAGGAAUGUGAUCGUACAGUUGUAUCCCACUUUUAUUAAUGUUUGUGUUUCCUUUAUGAAAAAUCUUAAAUUUGCCAUUGUC